RNAcentral lists this transfer RNA (84 nucleotides) under Nanobdellota archaeon. Its description in RNAcentral is "tRNA-Leu". It matches the Rfam family "tRNA". Rfam says of the family: Transfer RNA (tRNA) molecules are approximately 80 nucleotides in length. Their secondary structure includes four short double-helical elements and three loops (D, anti-codon, and T loops). The record is from RNAcentral. Lineage: Archaea; Nanobdellati; Nanobdellota.
GCGAGUGUGCCGGAGCGGUCAAACGGGGCAGCCUCAAGAGCUGCUGGCUUAGUGCCUACGAAGGUUCGAAUCCUUUCGCUCGCA